RNAcentral lists this ribosomal RNA (355 nucleotides) under uncultured bacterium. Its description in RNAcentral is "bacterial SSU rRNA". It matches the Rfam family "Bacterial small subunit ribosomal RNA", at positions 527 to 881 of the family's 1533-position model. The record is from RNAcentral.
GGAGGGUGCAAGCGUUAAUCGGAAUUACUGGGCGUAAAGCGCACGCAGGCGGUUUGUUAAGUCAGAUGUGAAAUCCCCGGGCUCAACCUGGGAACUGCAUCUGAUACUGGCAAGCUUGAGUCUCGUAGAGGGGGGUAGAAUUCCAGGUGUAGCGGUGAAAUGCGUAGAGAUCUGGAGGAAUACCGGUGGCGAAGGCGGCCCCCUAGACGAAGACUGACGCUCAGGUGCGAAAGCGUGGGGAGCAAACAGGAUUAGAUACCCUGGUAGUCCACGCCGUAAACGAUGUCGACUUGGAGGUUGUGCCCUUGAGGCGUGGCUUCCGGAGCUAACGCGUUAAGUCGACCACCUGGGGAGU